This 443-nucleotide long non-coding RNA is filed under the name Scleropages formosus (Asian bonytongue). Its description in RNAcentral is "lncRNA (ENSSFOG00015031628.1)". The record is from RNAcentral. Lineage: Eukaryota; Metazoa; Chordata; Actinopteri; Osteoglossiformes; Osteoglossidae.
CUUCGACAGUGCGUAGUGUUCAGGAUCUGUCCUUGUGCCCCCAGCAGAGUGGAUUCACUCAGGGGGAAGGCUACACCACCUUGCAUCUCCUCCACCUCCUCGAGGCUGGGACACCAGGGCAUGUGAGAGAGCAGAAGGGGUCCGGGGCAAUAACAGGGCACUGUGUUUGAGAAGAUUUGUGUGGCAGAGAGAAGCACAGCGGCGCACCCUUGAGGCUUCUGGGUCUCACUACAGCACUGUGGACACAGCUAGUUAGUACCUAGUGCUGAAUGGCCACAAGUCUGAACCACAGCAGCAUUAAUGAGUAUAACUGCAAAGUGAGAUGCUCAUCAUGCACCGUGCUUUUCUGCGCUUUAAUCGCAAUGACCGUAGAGCUGCUCUCAAUGUAAAUCACAUCCUCUGUCAUCCGUAGGUGAGCUACAAGUUGACUGGUACGACUGGGC